Molecule: non-coding RNA, 553 nt
Organism: Saimiri boliviensis boliviensis (Bolivian squirrel monkey)
Lineage: Eukaryota; Metazoa; Chordata; Mammalia; Primates; Cebidae
Source: RefSeq, a predicted model, not a curated record
GGAAUUUUAAAGGAUUUAGACGAAGGGUCUCGUUAUUCCUUGAAUCGUAAUUUCUGCCGCCAUAGGGAAGUGGACAGGUUGAGGGCGUUUUGGGGACAGAAUCUACAGUUUACCAGUGGCCCCAGAAUGUCCUACAAAAGAGGUGAAAUCAGUAUUGGAGAAGUGGCCUUAUGAAGAUGGGAGCAGGACUACUCCAUUUGACGGCUGACUUCACACCCAAUGGAAUAACCAUAUCCCAACCUGAUCUCAGUGGAUAAGCCCGUAGGGUUAAGGCCUAGGCCAUGUAUUAGGAAGUUGCUGAAUGGCACUCUGAAUACAGCUCCUUGGUAAAGGAAUUCUUGUGAAAAGUUGUGUUCCAUUUGUGUAUUGUACUUGAAAGUAGCUGUGGGCACUAUCCACAUUUUAACUUGCUGUGUUAACCAAUGUUAGUUUAUUAUCUCAGAACUCUGGCUGCACCAUUACAGUAUCAACAUUCAUUUAUUUUUGGCAGCGGCGGGGCCAUGACUUUACCACGAGCAUAUCAAGGAAUAUCACAAUAAGCUGCAUGACACUA